Molecule: ribosomal RNA, 484 nt
Filed under: uncultured bacterium
Lineage: Bacteria
Description: bacterial SSU rRNA
Rfam family: Bacterial small subunit ribosomal RNA
Source: RNAcentral
GAUGAACGCUAGCGGCAGGCUUAACACAUGCAAGUCGAGGGGCAGCGUGGAGCAGCAAUGCUCUGACGGCGACCGGCGGAAGGGUGCGUAACACGUGAGCGACUUGCCCGUCACAGGGGGAUAACCGGCGGAAACGGCGACUAAUACCCCAUACGAUGUGAUGCUGCAUGGCAUUGCAUUGAAAGAUUCAUCGGUGGCGGAUAGGCUCGCGGGACAUUAGCUAGACGGCGGGGCAACGGCCCACCGUGGCGACGAUGUCUAGGGGUUCUGAGAGGAAGGCCCCCCACACUGGGACUGAGACACGGCCCAGACUCCUACGGGAGGCAGCAGUGAGGAAUAUUGGGUCAAUGGGCGGAAGCCUGAACCAGCCAUGCCGCGUGAAGGACUAAGGCCCUACGGGUCGUAAACUUCUUUAGACGCAGAGCAAUAAGGUCCACGUGUGGACCGAUGAGAGUAUGCGUAGAAUAAGCAUCGGCUAACUCCG